This is a long non-coding RNA of Daktulosphaira vitifoliae (grape phylloxera), 1255 nucleotides long. RefSeq lists it as uncharacterized. The transcript has 3 exons. The record is from RefSeq and is a predicted model, not a curated record. Lineage: Eukaryota; Metazoa; Arthropoda; Insecta; Hemiptera; Phylloxeridae.
CUAAAAUACUUAGAUAAAAUAAAUGCCGCGUACAAAACUAGACAAUAAUAAAUAUGGAAAUUUGUGUGUAUUAUCUAUAAUUAAGUGUAUACACUAGUGAUGGGCAUUUUUGAAUAUUUUAAACUAUUGAAUAACUAUUCGAAUUGUUUUUAUACAACCGAAUAGUGUUUUUUUAGCAUAAACUAUCGAAUAGUAUUAAAAAAUAUUCGAUUAGUUCUAUCUAAAAUUUUUAUUAAGUACACUUAAUUAUAAUAAGAAGAUAAUUAACGAAUACUUAAAAUAAAUUAUUAUACUAUUAUAGUAAAAAGUACCAUUUUAUUUAUUUUUAGUUUGUGAUUCGUUGGUAAAAACUGAUAAAUAUGGGUCGAAAAUUAAAAAGCAGUUCUUUUUUUCGAUGACUAAUGAUAUAUUUUCAGUUUUAUCGGAAGUUUGUUCUAUGCACAACAGAAGUAUUCGUAAAUACUAAAGUCUUAUUUUACACUUAAUACCUUAAUACUGUUCUUAGUCUAGAAUUACCUGCUCUUUUGUCUUAUAAAGGCAUAACACCGAUAAAGAGGACAGCGCGUUUUAAAUUUUUACUUUUGUAAAAGUGGCGGCAACAAUAAAUACUGCCCCUCUUUAAAAAUUAUAUUAACUAUUUUUAUUAGUCGGUUAAUCAUUGAACAUUUUAACAGUGUUGUUGUACCAAACAGUUUAGUGUAAAAUUUAUUUUCUCUAUAAAAUGCACAAAAAAAAUAGAUCGAACGUAUGGAAUUUUUUAAAUAAGGAUACCAACUUUCCUAAUCAAGUUAUAUGUAAAUUUAAAAUAAAAUAUGCUAAUAAUACAUCAAAUGUUUGGGAUCAUUUACGCCGAAAACAUACUACGGCGUUGGAAGCAAAUAGAUUAUCGUCUCAAAAUGAAGAACGGUAUGAAAUCAAUGUUUCUAACGACAGUCAUCGCCCUCAACAAGUUCUUUAACUACGAAUUUAAAUAUACGUGAACAAAUAACUAAACAAACCCAAGGAACUCAACAAAGAAGACCAAAACAAUUAAUACUAACAAAUAGGUUCAGCUUACCAUCAGAAAGCAAAGUUGAUGAAUUUAAUAAAACUGUUGUCGAAAUGAUUGCAGAAGACAUGCAACCGUUAUCGACUGUAGAAAAUAGUGGAUUUAAAAAACUAAUUAAUCUUCUCGAUUCGCGAUACAAGUGCCAAGCAGGAAAAUUAUAGCAACAACACUCAUACCUAAUCUUUAUAACUCUACACGUGAAAUGGU